AAUAGAUACCCAGGUAGUCCACGCCGUAAACGAUGUCGACUUGGAGGUUGUUCCCUUGAGGGAGUGGGCUUCCGGAGCUAACGCGUUAAGUCGACCGCCUGGGGAGUACGGCCGCAAGGUUAAAACUCAAAUGAAUUGACGGGGGCCCGCACAAGCGGUGGAGCAUGUGGUUUAAUUCGAUGCAACGCGAAGAACCUUACCUACUCUUGACAUCCACGGAACUUAGCAGAGAUGCUUUGGUGCCUUCGGGAACCGUGAGACAGGUGCUGCAUGGCUGUCGUCAGCUCGUGUUGUGAAAUGUUGGGUUAAGUCCCGCAACGAGCGCAACCCUUAUCCUUUGUUGCCAGCGGUUAGGCCGGGAACUCAAAGGAGACUGCCAGUGAUAAACUGGAGGAAGGUGGGGAUGACGUCAAGUCAUCAUGGCCCUUACGAGUAGGGCUACACACGUGCUACAAUGGCGCAUACAAAGAGAAGCGACCUCGCGAGAGCAAGCGGACCUCAUAAAGUGCGUCGUAGUCCGGAUUGGAGU
Molecule: ribosomal RNA, 529 nt
Filed under: uncultured bacterium
Lineage: Bacteria
Description: bacterial SSU rRNA
Rfam family: Bacterial small subunit ribosomal RNA
Source: RNAcentral